This 348-nucleotide long non-coding RNA is filed under the name Androctonus crassicauda. The record is from RNAcentral. Lineage: Eukaryota; Metazoa; Arthropoda; Arachnida; Scorpiones; Buthidae.
CCAUUGUAUAAACUUAAAUGUUGGAAUACUGUUCUGGUCAUUCAGAAACACAGUUUCAUGUUACAUAAAUCCUGAUCCUGAGUGCCCAAGGCCGAGGCUGGCUCCUGAAUCAGACCCCUGCCAGCAGAGUUUCCAGGACCAGUCCAAAUUCGCCUGGCUAAGAGCAGGAAGGACUCCACGGGGCAGGCACGUUUACGAGUAAGUGAUGGGAUUCUUUCUGCUGGUAAAGAAAAUGUUCUUGGCUAAAUUCACAUAAUCUUAGGCACUGAUGAGUAUCCUCCUGGCUUCAUCUUUAAACUCUGCUGAAAGAAAUUGUGUUUAUUUGGCUCUUUCUGCUUGCCCUCAGGU